UACGUAGGGUGCAAGCGUUGUCCGGAAUUAUUGGGCGUAAAGAGCUCGUAGGCGGUUUGUUGCGUCGGCUGUGAAAUCCCGAGGCUCAACCUCGGGUCUGCAGUCGAUACGAGCAAACUAGAGUGUUGCAGGGGAGACUGGAAUUCCUGGUGUAGCGGUGGAAUGCGCAGAUAUCAGGAGGAACACCGAUGGCGAAGGCAGGUCACUGGGCCGCAACUGACGCUGAGGAGCGAAAGCGUGGGGAGCAAACAGG
This 253-nucleotide ribosomal RNA is filed under the name uncultured bacterium. Its description in RNAcentral is "partial 16S ribosomal RNA". It matches the Rfam family "Bacterial small subunit ribosomal RNA", at positions 524 to 776 of the family's 1533-position model. The record is from RNAcentral.